Molecule: ribosomal RNA, 440 nt
Filed under: uncultured bacterium
Lineage: Bacteria
Description: partial 16S ribosomal RNA
Rfam family: Bacterial small subunit ribosomal RNA
Source: RNAcentral
CCUACGGGAGGCAGCAGUAGGGAAUAUUGCUCAAUGGGGGAAACCCUGAAGCAGCAACGCCGCGUGGAGGAAGAAGUUUUUCGUAUUGUAGACCCCUUUCGUCAGAGAAGAUAAUGACGGUAUCUGACUAAUAAGCACCGGCUAACUCCGUGCCAGCAGCCGCGGUAAUACGGAGGGUGCAAGCGUUACACGGAAUUACUGGGGGUAAAGAGCGCGUAGGCGGGAUAGCAAGUCAGAAGUGAAAUCCUAUGGCUUAACCAUAGGACUGCAUUUGAAACUGUACGUCUAGAGUGUAGGAGAGGUAAGUGGAAUUCUUGGUGUAGCGGUGAAAUGCGUAGAGAUCAAGAGGAAUACUAGUGGCGAAGGCGGCUUACUGGAACGUAACUGACGCUGAGGCGCGAAAGCGUGGGGAGCAAACAGGAUUAGAUACCCUAGUAGUC